GCCAGAAGGGGUGCGAGGCGGCGGAGGAGGGGACCAGCGGGUUGCCGCCUUGGCUCGCCAGCUUGGCAACGGGAAGGCGGGAGAGGAGCGGCGAGAGAGACCGAGCCGUCCUCCUUCGCAGCCGGCACUGGCUCUACUCGGCCGCCCUCUGCAUUGGCUUCUCCUCCCUUCGCUCCCUCCUCCCCUUCCUCUCUCUCUCUCUCUGCGCUCUGAGGAGAAAGAGAGAGAGAAACCGACACCGCUUUCUUCUUUCCCGCCUCAACUUCUUCAGCAAUCAGCGCCACUCAGUUCCCUUCAGCUCUUUCUUGUCGCCUCCUCAUGGCUAUUUCAGAAAUGGGAAUAAUAAUAAUAAUAAUCCCUCCUCAGAUGACUGUUGGGACUCCCCUGAUACUGCCACCAGGACAACUUUGUCAGUGGUCCUAAUACGGGACGCUUUGUCUGUCUCUGUCUCUGUUUUGUUGUUGUUCCCCAGCCCUCGUCCGGGAGGAGAGUAGGUGCCAAGCCCUGGCGGAGUUUUAUAGCCUUGGCCUGACGUCGGUCCGAGGAAGAGCCCUGGGCGCGAGCGGCCAGGCCAAUGGGAAGCCGAGGAGACAACCCCCUCAUUUGCAUCUCGAGAGGGGCGCGCGAGGAGGAAACUUUCGGCGGAGCUGUCAAUCAAAAAAGGGAAAAAAAAGGGGGGGGAGAGGCCCAAUCAGCUGACUGUCAGCUGGGACCCCGGAGGCGGGUUAACCCUUUCCUGGCUAUUGAGCAAGAGAAAGGAAGGGAAAGGAAGCAGCAUCCACUGGACGUGGCAGCAGGGAUCCCAGGCGCGUGGCUCCAUUGCACUGGAGAGAAACAUCCAAAUCUAGAACGUCAGAAUGUGACGGAGUCAACGGUCAGGAAGUCAAUGAUUUCCACGAGUGAUACGGAUAACCUCUAAUAGGAAAGGUAAAGGAUGACCCAUUGAGAUUUCUAGAUAACCUGUUUUGACUGUUUUCAAUAAUAUGUAACAGGCCAUUCUUAGGACAAGAGAAACUAACUAAAUAUUACAUUCCCUAAUUGUUCUAAUGAUUGGAAGGAAAGGUUGUUUCAGGAUACGUGAAGAACCAUUUAUCUAUUUAAGUUAUAUCCCACAUUUUUCCUAGUGUGAAUCCAAAGAGGCGAGUUGCUAUUGUUUUUGUGAGCCUUCAAGCCAUCCUUAUGGAGGCUUUGGGGCAAACCUCCAUGGGCUUGGGCUGUGGCGCAGGCUGGAGAGCAGCUGCAAUGAAUCACUGCAAUGAAUCACUCUGACCAGGAGGUCAUGAGUUCGAGGCCCGCUCGGAGCCUAUGCUUGUCUUGUCUUUGUUCUAUGUUAAAAGACAUUGAAUGUUUGCCUAUAUGUGUAAUGUGAUCCGCCCUGAGUCCCCUUCGGGGUGAGAAGGGCAGAAUAUAAAUGCUGUAAAUAAAUAAUAAUAAAUAAACCUAUUAGAGGAGUUUCUUGGCAAUAUUUAUUCAGAUGGGGUUUGCCAUUGCCUUUGUCUUAAGAUGAGAGAAUGUGACUUGUCUAAGAUUGCCCAUGGGGAUGCAUUUACACUGUAGAAUGGUACAUUUUGACACCACUUUAACUGUCAUGGCUCAAUGCUAUGGAAUCAUAGGUAAAGUUAAAGGUUUUCCCCUGACGUUAAGUCCAGUCGUGACUGACUCUGGGGUUGGUGCUCAUCUCCAUUUCUAAGCCGAAGAGCCGACGUUGUCCAUAGACACCUCCAAGGUCAUGUGGCCGGCAUGACUGCAUGGAGUGCCGUUACCUUCCCGCCAGAGCGGUACCUAUUGAUCUACUCACAUUUUGCAUGUUUUCGAACUGCUAGGUUGGCAGGAGCUGGGGCUAACAGCGGUCACUCAUAUGGAAUCAUAGGAGUUGUAAUUUGUAGAGUUGUGCACGGAAUUUGUUUCUCUCAUUUCAUCUGUUCUUUCGCUCCUUUUCUUAUCUUCAGGAGCAUGAAACAGGACACCUCCCCACCCAGUAUAGAAAUCAAAUUGACAUGAAAGCAGGUGGGAGUGAGUCCCUGCUCCUGGCCUGUUUUUCAGCAUAACAGUUUAAUCUUUUUUAUUUAUUUCCCAGUCAACAAAAAAGUACACCCUC
This is a long non-coding RNA of Anolis carolinensis (green anole), 2098 nucleotides long. The record is from Ensembl. NCBI's taxonomy places the organism in Eukaryota, Metazoa, Chordata, Lepidosauria, Squamata, Anolidae.